AGGAUGAACGCUGGCGGUCUGCCUAACACAUGCAAGUCGAACGUCCUGUCUCGCAAGAGGCAGGGAGUGGCGGACGGGUGAGUACCACGUGGGUCAUCUACCGUGAGGUGAGGAAUACCGGCGAGAAAUCGCCGACAAGACCGCAUAGGCUCGAUGCAAGUCGAGCAAAGCUCUUUCGAGAGAGGGAGCGCCACACGAGGAGCCUGCGCCCGAUUAGCUAGCUGGUGGAGUAACGGUUCACCAGGGCGACGAUCGGUAGCUGGUCUGAGAGGACGAUCAGCCACACUGGGAUUGAGAACGGCCCAGACUCCUACGGGGGGCAGCAGUGAGGAAUUUUCGUCAAUGGGGGCAACCCUGAACGAGCAACGCCGCGUGCAGGAAGAAGGUUUUCGGAUCGUAAACUGCUUUUCUCGGGGAAGAGAACGGACGGUACCCGAGGAAUCGAGCCCGGCUAACUACGUGCCAGCAGCCGC
RNAcentral lists this ribosomal RNA (473 nucleotides) under uncultured bacterium. RNAcentral describes it as "SSU rRNA". It matches the Rfam family "Bacterial small subunit ribosomal RNA", at positions 26 to 518 of the family's 1533-position model. The record is from RNAcentral.